UAAUAUCGUAAAAAGUUGUGU
Molecule: non-coding RNA, 21 nt
Filed under: Caenorhabditis elegans
Lineage: Eukaryota; Metazoa; Nematoda; Chromadorea; Rhabditida; Rhabditidae
Source: RNAcentral